UCCCUGGUGGCUCAGACGGUAAAGAAUCUGCCUGCAGUGCAGGAGACCUGGGUUCAAUCCCUGGGCUGGGAA
RNAcentral lists this transfer RNA (72 nucleotides) under Bos taurus (domestic cattle). It matches the Rfam family "tRNA". From Rfam's summary of the family: Transfer RNA (tRNA) molecules are approximately 80 nucleotides in length. Their secondary structure includes four short double-helical elements and three loops (D, anti-codon, and T loops). RNAcentral also lists the same sequence under 5 other names. The record is from Rfam by way of RNAcentral. Lineage: Eukaryota; Metazoa; Chordata; Mammalia; Artiodactyla; Bovidae.